RNAcentral lists this ribosomal RNA (75 nucleotides) under Periophthalmus magnuspinnatus. The record is from RNAcentral. Lineage: Eukaryota; Metazoa; Chordata; Actinopteri; Gobiiformes; Gobiidae.
CUCUAAAGCUAAACUGGGUUGGGCUUGGUUCGUACUUGGAUGGGAGACCACUUGGAAUACCAGGUGCUGUAGUAU